CCAAUAGCGUAUAUUAAAGUUGUUGCAGUUAAAAAGCUCGUAGUUGAAUUUCGGGGUCAGUAGGUUGGUCAUGCCUCUGGUAUGUACUGGUCUCACUGAUUCCUCCUUCCUGAUGAACUGUAAUGCCAUUAAUUUGGUGUUGCAGGGAAUCUGGACUGUUACUUUGAAAAAAUUAGAGUGUUUAAAGCAGGCCAACGCCUGAAUACAUUAGCAUGGAAUAAUGAAAUAGGACGUUCGAUCCUAUUUUGUUGGUUUCUAGGAUUGACGUAAUGAUUAAUAUGGAUAGUUGGAGGUAUUAGUAUUCAAUUGUCAGAGGUGAAAUUCUUUGAUUUAUUGAAGACUAACUACUUCGAAAGCAUGUGCCAAGGAUGUUUUCAUUAAUCAAGAACGAAAGUUAGGGGAUCGAAGACGAUCAGAUACCGUCGUAGUCUUAACCAUAAACUAUGCCGACUAGGGAUCGGAUGAUGUUAAUUUUUUAAUGACUCAUUCGGCGCCUUACG
Molecule: ribosomal RNA, 500 nt
Filed under: uncultured Glomeromycotina
Lineage: Eukaryota; Fungi; Glomeromycota
Description: partial small subunit ribosomal RNA
Rfam family: Eukaryotic small subunit ribosomal RNA
Source: RNAcentral